RNAcentral lists this non-coding RNA (29 nucleotides) under Mus musculus (house mouse). The record is from RNAcentral. Lineage: Eukaryota; Metazoa; Chordata; Mammalia; Rodentia; Muridae.
UACACUGUUGUGUGGCUCCCUUGAUCUGA